AAGUCGUAACAAGGUUUCCGUAGGUGAACCUGCGGAAGGAUCAUUAUUGAACGAAUGUAGAGUUGGUUGUCGCUGGCCCUCUCUGCUGGGCAUGUGCACGCCUUCUCUUUCAUCCACACACACCUGUGCACUCGUGAAGACGGAAGUGCCCUCGGGCGUCUGUCCGCUCCACAUAAAAUCAUACGCAUAUAUAUAUUGAAUGUAAUUGAUGUACACAUCUUUAAACUAA
RNAcentral lists this unclassified non-coding RNA (229 nucleotides) under plant metagenome. RNAcentral's name for it is "partial contains small subunit ribosomal RNA and internal transcribed spacer 1". The stretch from base 1 to 46 matches the Rfam family "Eukaryotic small subunit ribosomal RNA", at positions 1786 to 1831 of the family's 1831-position model. The record is from RNAcentral.